AGAGUUUGAUCCUGGCUCAGGAUGAACGCUGGCGGUAUGCCUAACACAUGCAAGUCGUACGAGAGUUUUUAACUCUAGUGGCGGACGGGUGAGUAACACGUGAGAAUUUGCCUUUAGGAGGGGGAUAACAAUUGGAAACGAAUGCUAAUACCCCAUAUGCUUUCGAGUGAAAUGAAUUUUUUAUUUGCCUAAAGAGAAGCUCGCGGCUGAUUAGCUUGUUGGUAAGGUAAGAGCUUACCAAGGCGACGAUCAGUAUCUGGUUUGAGAGGACGAUCAGACACACUGGAACUGAGACACGGUCCAGACUCCUACGGGAGGCAGCAGUGGGGAAUUUUCCGCAAUGGGCGAAAGCCUGACGGAGCAAUACCGCGUGAGGGAAGAAUGCCUAUGGGUUGUAAACCUCUUUUUUCAGGGAGGAAUAAAUGACGUGUACCUGAAGAAUAAGCAUCGGCUAACUCCGUGCCAGCAGCCGCGGUAAG
This 479-nucleotide ribosomal RNA is filed under the name uncultured bacterium. Its description in RNAcentral is "bacterial SSU rRNA". It matches the Rfam family "Bacterial small subunit ribosomal RNA", at positions 8 to 524 of the family's 1533-position model. The record is from RNAcentral.